RNAcentral lists this ribosomal RNA (253 nucleotides) under uncultured bacterium. Its description in RNAcentral is "partial 16S ribosomal RNA". It matches the Rfam family "Bacterial small subunit ribosomal RNA", at positions 524 to 776 of the family's 1533-position model. The record is from RNAcentral.
UACGAAGGGUGCAAGCGUUACUCGGAAUUACUGGGCGUAAAGCGUGCGUAGGCGGUUCGUUAAGUCUGAUGUGAAAGCCCUGGGCUCAACCUGGGAAUGGCAUUGGAUACUGGCGACCUAGAGUGCGGUAGAGGGUGGCGGAAUUCCCGGUGUAGCAGUGAAAUGCGUAGAUAUCGGGAGGAACAUCCGUGGCGAAGGCGGCCACCUGGACCAGCACUGACACUGAGGCACGAAAGCGUGGGGAGCAAACAGG